RNAcentral lists this ribosomal RNA (501 nucleotides) under uncultured bacterium. Its description in RNAcentral is "partial 16S ribosomal RNA". It matches the Rfam family "Bacterial small subunit ribosomal RNA", at positions 30 to 523 of the family's 1533-position model. The record is from RNAcentral.
AUUGAACGCUGGCGGCAGGCCUAACACAUGCAAGUCGAGCGGGGGAAGGUAGCUUGCUACCGGACCUAGCGGCGGACGGGUGAGUAAUGAUUAGGAAUCUGCCUAUUAGUGGGGGACAACAUCUCGAAAGGGAAGCUAAUCCCGCAUACGUCCUAAGGGAGAAAGGAGGGGCUCUUCGGUUCUUGCGUGCAUAGGUGAGCGAUAGUCGGAUCAGCUAGUUGGUGGGGUAAAGGCCUGCGAAGGCGACGAUCUGUAGCGGUUCUGAGAGGAUGGUCCGCCACACUGGGACUGAGACACGGCCCAGAGUCCUACGGGAGGCAGCAGUGGGGAAUAUUUGACAAUGGGGGGAACCCUGAUCCAGCCAUGCCGCGUGUGUGAAGAAGGCCUUAUGGUUGUAAAGCACUUUAAGCGAGGAGGAGUCUACUCUAGUUAAUACCUAGGGAUAGUGGACGUUACUCGCAGAAUAAGCACCGGCUAACUCUGUGCCAGCCGCCGCCGUAA